Leopardus geoffroyi (Geoffroy's cat) is the source of this 2226-nucleotide long non-coding RNA. RefSeq lists it as uncharacterized. The transcript has 3 exons. Lineage: Eukaryota; Metazoa; Chordata; Mammalia; Carnivora; Felidae. The record is from RefSeq and is a predicted model, not a curated record.
CAGGAGGCUUUGGAAGCUCAAAGCCUUUGACAGCUCAUAGAAAAACUGAUCAAGGGGUAUCUAGGUGCCACUGUAUGAAACAUGUCUACAGCAAUGCUGCUGAGUUAAUUUGCACUGCCAGGUUACAAGUCAACCUGUCUGCUUCACAGCCAUGAACUUCUCCCUCUUCCAUCACUACAGGUUAACCAAGGUGGCAUCUAGAAUAUGAUGUUAGUCUUUUUAAAUACUGUUUGUCAAUACUGGGAAGAAGAAAGGCAAAGAAUGAUCAUCUGUUGAAGCAAAGUGAACUAUAAUUGUAGAUGGCAACAAUAAUUUGGGGCCUGGAAAGCCCAUCUUUUCCUUUGAUUUGCAUUUGGAUUGAUGGAGUCUCUAACUUAGAAUAAUGAAAUUUACUGCUUUGUUAAAGCAAAGCAAUAAGAAAUUUCACUUCUUCGUCUCAAUGAAGCCACCCAAAAUUCCAUGUAUUUUCUUUUGUAAAUUGUUUAUUUUUAAUACUCUAUGCUCAUUAUUCUUUUAUAUGCUGAAUGUUAACACUUUGGUGAUGGCGUAAGACCAUCCCUGCUCCUGUAUGUUUUUUUUUUAAUUGAAGUAUAGUCAACAAACAAUAUCGUAUUAGUUUCAGAUGUACAUCAUAGUGAUAUGAUUAUUUUUGUACAUUAUAAAAUGACCCACACUUUAAGUCUACGUCUGUUACCACAAAAAGUUAUUACAAUAUUAUUGUCUAUAUUUACAGUGCUGUGUAUUACAUCCUCAUGGCAUAUUUGUUUAUAACUGGAAGUGUGUACCUCUUAAUCCCCUUUGUCUAUUUCACUUGCCCCCAACUCCUCUCCACACUGGUAACCAAAGACUGUGUGUAAACUGUGUGUGUCUGGCAGCUUCUGCAGACCAGAUGGAGCUGGAGCAGGUGCAGGACAAGAUGGUCCCAGGCCACACCGAGGUUUCCCUUAUGGAAUGGCUGUAUCAGAUGCAGGCCAAGGAGCAGUCUCAAUGCAUGUUACAUAGAAGCCAGUGUGGCAAGACAGCUGGGGCUAGAGUGAGCACAUGCCAGGGGUGUCCCACGGCAUGCCAAACUGGGCUGUUAUGGCAGGCUGGCUGGAACUGGAGCAGCUGUGGGGGGUGGGGGGGUGCUGGAGCACAACAUACUGGGACUGCAUCUUAGCAGGAUGGCUGGGUUGGGCACCUGCCAGAAGGGGUCCCUGAGCUCACUGUAUCAGGGCACCCUUGACUCAGUGGCUGGAGCUGAAGUGGGUGCAGGCUAGUGAUGCCCAGGCUGUGUAGUACUGGGGUCCCCUCAGGGAGACAGCUGGAGUUGAUGUAGCUUAGGGGUCUGGGCAUGCUGAGGUGGCCCUAGCAAGUGAGAGUCCCUGGAAUCUGCUCCUGUUGGGUUCAUCAAGGUGGAGAGUCAAUAUAAAAAAUGGCUCUCGCUGGCACCUUCAACCCAGAGAGUUCCAGUAGUUUCCUGCCCAUUUGGCAGAGGCUCUAGGGUUAGUAAAUAGAUUUCCUUUACUGACAGUCUAGUUGUCCUUUAAACCACAGUUUUUUUCACUGUGCCCCAUGGCAUUCAAGUUUGCAGGCCAGCCUCUUCAGUAAUAUCCCUCCCCACUGCAGAUGGCGUUUUGGGAGUGGGGAUCCUGUCACCACCGUGUCUCCUGGACUUAAAGUCAAUGGUGGUAUGGUUACCUAAUCCCUGUCAGGUUCACUCUUACAUGCUGUUUGGCAACUGUCCUGGUUCAUCCAGGCCAAAGCAGAGGAAAAGUAAGGAAUAAAAGGAAGACAGAAAGGGGUGCCCUGGCUCUUUGUCUCUCUAUAGCUCCCACUGCACUAUGACAAAUAUCCAUCUUUUCCAAGGAGGAAAAGCAGUCUUCUGAUCACUACCCUUGAUAUAUACAUGUAUAAUCCACCUGUGACAAGUGGACACCAAUGCAUACACAAGCACUCUACCCAUGAUGGCCUCCGACAAGAUCCACCAUGCAGAAACAAGUUAAAACAGAACUUCUAUUGAUACCCAUUUUAAAUCUCAUCUUGUAAUGUUUCUUUUCUAUCAAAUAUUUUAUAAGAUACCUAAAGUAUUAGUUUAGUAGUAAUUUGACCCACAAAACCAGUAAUGGUUCAAUCUAAUGCACAGACCUUAAUUUACAAGGAAGUAAAAAAGCAUACAUUGCAGAGAAGAUAUGUGUGCUUGGGCACUGGUUACCAAUUAGGGUGUAUGAAUGAGUCUUGGAACUG